GCCGCGAAUUCCGCCCUUAGGGUUUGAUUAUGGCUCAGGAUGAACGCUAGCGGCAGGCCUAAUACAUGCAAGUCGGACGGGAUCCAUCGGCGAGCUUGCUCAAAGAUGGUGAGAGUGGCGCACGGGUGCGUAACGCGUGAGCAACCUACCUCUAUCAGGGGGAUAGCCUCUCGAAAGAGAGAUUAACACCGCAUAACAUCAACAGUUCGCAUGUUCGGUUGAUUAAAUAUUUAUAGGAUAGAGAUGGGCUCGCGUGACAUUAGCUAGUUGGUAGGGUAACGGCUUACCAAGGCGACGAUGUCUAGGGGCUCUGAGAGGAGAAUCCCCCACACUGGUACUGAGACACGGACCAGACUCCUACGGGAGGCAGCAGUAAGGAAUAUUGGUCAAUGGGCGGAAGCCUGAACCAGCCAUGCCGCGUGCAGGAUGACUGCCCUAUGGGUUGUAAACUGCUUUUGUCCAGGAAUAAACCCAGAUACGUGUAUCUGGCUGAAUGUACUGGAAGAAUAAGGAUCGGCUAACUCCGUGCCAGCAGCCGCGGUAAUACGGAGGAUCCGAGCGUUAUCCGGAUUUAUUGGGUUUAAAGGGUGCGUAGGCGGCCAAUUAAGUCAGGGGUGAAAUACGGUGGCUCAACCAUCGCAGUGCCUUUGAUACUGAUUGGCUUGAAUCCAUUUGAAGUGGGCGGAAUAAGACAAGUAGCGGUGAAAUGCAUAGAUAUGUCUUAGAACUCCGAUUGCGAAGGCAGCUCACUAAGCUGGUAUUGACGCUGAUGCACGAAAGCGUGGGGAUCGAACAGGAUUAGAUACCCUGGUAGUCCACGCCCUAAAC
Molecule: ribosomal RNA, 828 nt
Filed under: uncultured bacterium
Lineage: Bacteria
Description: bacterial SSU rRNA
Rfam family: Bacterial small subunit ribosomal RNA
Source: RNAcentral